This 89-nucleotide small nucleolar RNA is filed under the name Capronia americana. RNAcentral describes it as "Capronia semiimmersa Small nucleolar RNA snR73". It matches the Rfam family "Small nucleolar RNA snR73". Lineage: Eukaryota; Fungi; Ascomycota; Eurotiomycetes; Chaetothyriales; Herpotrichiellaceae. The record is from Rfam by way of RNAcentral.
UUUCAGGAUGAUUUAUUCUAUUUUAUCACGACGGUCAACGUAGCAUAUGCUUUGACGACCACAGCCUCUGACAGGGCUUAGAUCUGAUU